This is a long non-coding RNA of Mustela erminea (ermine), 1677 nucleotides long. RefSeq lists it as uncharacterized. The transcript has 3 exons. Lineage: Eukaryota; Metazoa; Chordata; Mammalia; Carnivora; Mustelidae. The record is from RefSeq and is a predicted model, not a curated record.
UGUGGGGCCCAAUCCCAUGACCCUGAGAUUGCGACCUGAACAAAAAUUAAGAGCUGGACACUAGCCCACUAUGUUACUUAGGAUCCAUUUGAUGAUAAGAGGCAGAAGCCCAGUUUGAAAUAGAGAGGCACAAAGGAACAUUUACUGGAAGGAGUUUUGCUCAUAUUCUGUGGAGAACCCUGGGAAACACCCCUUUCCAGAAGAAGAUGCUUGGAAGCCCAGUGAAGUCUUCGCAAGGAUCACACACUCAGAAAACUCUACAGCCGGAGAUGUGUACUCUAGUGACAAAGGCUAGCAGUCCCAUUUUACAGAUGAAAUUGUGGCCCAGGGAGCCCAGGGCGUCCAGUGUGGUGAAAGGACCUGCCUGGGUUCCAGGUGGCAGGAGUUCCACACUCCAGGAUCAGCAUCAUCCUCUCCCCAACAAAGACCCCAGUGCUAGCCAGCUGCAGCCCUUUCCUCAGAUGCUUGUGUGGCAGCCCCACGGGGCCCCUCCUGGGAGUGACCUUAUCUUAGUAAUCCCAGCCUCUCUUUGUUCCCCAGCUCUGGCCAGUAGUUGUUCUUGCUGGUGUGGUUCCUGUGAUUUCAGUGUCUUGUUUUAUUUUCCAGGUCUCCCACACUUGGUCAGCGAUUCUUUAUGUCAACUUCUCUCUGUUAAAGGGGCCAGGGGAGCUCCUGUCUCCUGACGGGACCCUCAUGGACACACUGCUGCUUAAUUUCAAGGACAGUUUCGCCCUUUUUCAUCCUUUCCCCUCUCUGUCCUCCCUUGCAUCUUGUGGAGCAGGGUUUGCUAAUGGCAUCAGGGAAACUGAGAUCCAGGUAGUAAGUGGUGGAGCCAACACUGGACUCAGGCUCCCUGCCACCAAGGGCACCCUCUGUCCUGCUGAAGGCUGACUACUUGUCCUGGUUACAAGGGGAAAAAGCCAGGAUUCCCACCUAGAGUCAUAAAGUUGAGGUGCUCAUGAGCUCUGUUACAAACAUUAUAACAUUUCUGUUUUCAGGAAUGCAUUCCCUGGAAAUAUGAAAGAAGCACGAGAAUUGCUAGUAAGUCCCCAUGAUAAGUUCCAAAAGGAAGAAAGAACCUCAGUAAAAUAGGAUUAUUACACAAGGUUUACAGUUCUAAAGGGAAUUUCCUGGAAAAUGAUAUCGUUUCUUGCUCCUUCUUGUUCUUCUCCAUAUAACAUUUAAUGAGCUGCAUGUUCUGCAGGAAGUCUUUUCAUUGUGCAUUUUCCUGCAUGUCUGGCAUGUAUAAGAAUUUUGAGGUGCAUAUAGAAAAUGCGUUGAUGUCCACAAGUAUCAGGGGCUAGGGUUUCUCCUUACUUGAAUAUUCUUUGGGAAUGACUGUAAUCUUUACAUUGGUUUGCAUCAAUUACCUUAAAAACAGAAUAAUGUGGCCAAUACUUAGACAAUAUUUACAAGGUCCCAGGCUCUGCUCUGAGUGCUUUAUUAUAUUAGCUUUUACAAUUUCCACCACAACCCUAAUAUAACAUGUUUAUCUCUUCUUCAUUGAUGUCAUUAAGGCACAGGGAGGUUAAGUGCUUGUCCAGGAUUGCACAGUUGAUAAAUAUUAGAGCUGGGAGUUGAAACCAUGCUAUCUGGCUCCAGAAUUCUUGCUCUUAUCAAGAAUACUGAGCUUAUUUCUUAAAGUGUUUUUUUUUUUUUUUUAAGAGAGAGAGAGGG